Thunnus maccoyii (southern bluefin tuna) is the source of this 2014-nucleotide long non-coding RNA. RefSeq lists it as uncharacterized. The transcript is spliced from 3 exons. NCBI's taxonomy places the organism in Eukaryota, Metazoa, Chordata, Actinopteri, Scombriformes, Scombridae. The record is from RefSeq and is a predicted model, not a curated record.
CAAAAGCUGCAUGGUCGAUGGGAAGACAACAGGAGGGUUAAGUUUCCUCUUCAAAAACAUGACUGGAAAACACUUUUCGAGCGAGUGGAAAAGACGACUUUACGAUGCACUUAGAGGUCAUUAAAAGUUUUACAUUUCUGACAUUACUGGAGAGGAAGUGAGCCUUGAGAGCAAUAGUGCCUCCCCCUUAAUAGCCUAUAAGCAGCCUGUUAAUGCCUGUAAAAUCCUGCAAGUCUACAUCACACGGUUUGGCCGGGGAUCUUCUCACAUCACGUUCAAUAUUUAUAAUCAAUUAGCUUAUAUUCUGCAAAUACACUUCACAUAGACUCCUUACUGACCAGGGACUGACCUCACAAUAGCAAUAAAGGCCAAAAGAUGAUCCCAGGAUCUCCCCAGUGUAAACCAGGUUACGAUCACAUUGAAUGUGUUUGACAAAGAAAGGUGAUAUUUACUCUCUCUGAGCGUCACACUUCACACAGGGGGGAAUUCGGCACUGAUCUUCCAGUGAGGCACCUCUGCUGCAGCAGCAUUUCUUUUUUUACCACCAGUUCUAAGACACUUGAAGAGAUCUCUGCUGGGUAUAUCUGUCUCUGGAGUGCUUUCUCUCACAAAAACACUAUUUUUUUUUUCUCCCUUUCUUCUAAUGCUCCCUUUGCCCCCCGCGCUCCCUCCCUCACUUCAUUUCUGCGAGGGACAUAAGAUAAAAAUCAUCAUUGUGGCUUGAGGAAACGCAGAGGGUGUGAAGAGACAGACUGCAGCAGAGAGACAAAGAUGACUUGAUGAAUUGAAAGGCGGCCAGGGAGGACAGACACUAAGCAGAUUUUGGGUUGUAGAGCUUGACCGUGGAGGUACAAAGCCUGGGAUGAUGAUAUGCUAUAUGAACAAUGGUAGCAGCAAGUGCCUGAACCAGCUGGUUAUCCUUUGUUGAUUAGCCGCUUUUUCCAACUAACAACCCAAUUUCAUCAUAUCAGUAAUUAUUAAGGAGUGUACUUUACCAGUGUUGCUCAAGAAAAGUCAUUUAAAAUGUAUAUACCGUAGGCUGUUUUAGAGGUAAUUCACUCAUGUAAUAGAAAAUUGAUAUUCCUGCAAAAUUAAUCUAAAGCACUUGUUAAUUAUUGUAAUAAAAAGCCAAUAUUAACUGUUGACUGACAUAGAGCAUGAACUGCAGUCUUCAAGGAUGCUCAUCCUCCACUUCCUUACUUUUUGUACCAUAUGGGAGGAAGAAUAUAAACAUAAAGAACCGGUCAUCGACUGCCAGAAGCGAGGCUGGAAGGCAAGGUGCAUGUCCACCGAGGUUGGAUGCAGAGGAUUUGCGGGGCAAUCGCUGUACAAAGCCUUGAGCCAGCUGGGCAUCACUGGAGUGGCAAGGAGCAGAGCCCUCGAGAACAUCACCACGGCAGCAGAAAAAAUCCUCGAGAUGGCUCUGGAUUAGGAGAGGAGACCCGUGGGGAGUGUCUGAUGUUGUAAGACUCGAAACACCUGAUGACUCCAGGAUGCGUUCAGAAACUCUCUCCCUAUAGUGCUCGGCUCUGCCUUUGAUUAUCGGAGAAGACAGAGCGUCUGAAUUCAGCCACCAGGCCAUUAAUCUGUGACUGGGUCUGAGAGAUGAGGGAGCCUUCAGUGGCGACCUGCAGGGAAUUAUCUGCUCGCUUCAGCCUGCCGCAGAGACCCACUGCUGGGCUGAGACCACAGCAUGAGAAACACACUCGCCGAUGGCCACCUGGGGCAGCGACUGUGGACACUGAUGUGAAGAGAGAAACUCGACUGAUGCAACACACAGUUUCUUGAAUACACUGAACCUAAGUUUUGUUACUAUUGUAUGCUUUAAACAUGCACAAAAAACAAACUACAUAAACUAAACUUUUAUAAUAAGCAAACUAGUCUCAACAUCUUUUACUGACACAAGAAAGAGUUUGGAGCAUAAAUUAACAUUGACCAGUGAUGUCACAGUCAAGUUUCAGUAACAAUAUUCUGAAAAUGGAAGAAACAUUUUCAAAACUACCAUAAAGACAAA